RNAcentral lists this unclassified non-coding RNA (416 nucleotides) under uncultured Heterochaetella. RNAcentral's name for it is "sequence contains ITS2". The stretch from base 1 to 154 matches the Rfam family "5.8S ribosomal RNA". The record is from RNAcentral. Lineage: Eukaryota; Fungi; Basidiomycota; Agaricomycetes; Auriculariales.
AACUUUCAAAAAUGGAUCUCUUGGCUCUCGCAUCGAUGAAGAACGCAGCGAAAUGCGAUAAGUAAUGUGAAUUGCGGAAUUCAGUGAAUCAUCGAAUCUUUGAACGCACCUUGCGCUCCUUGGUAUUCCAUGUAGCAUGCCUGUUUGAGUGUCACGUGAACACCUCACCUCCCCUUGGGGAUGCGUGGACUUGGACGUUUGCCGACGCGAGUCGGCUCGUCUCGAAAUGCAUUAGCCUGCAGAGUGCUUCGCUGGGCCUUUGGCGUGAUAGUCACAUUUCGCCGUAGCGUCUGCGAUGUCUUCGACUCUGGGCUCACAAUAUUUGGAACCCGUCCGUGGGGACCAUCUUUUUACGCUCUGGCCUCAAAUCAGGUAGGACUACCCGCUGAACUUAAGCAUAUCAAUAAGCGGAGGCU